CCUACGGGAGGCUGCAGUAGGGAAUCUUCCACAAUGGACGAAAGUCUGAUGGAGCAACGCCGCGUGUGUGAUGAAGGGUUUCGGCUCGUAAAACACUGUUGUAAGAGAAGAAUGACAUUGAGAGUAACUGUUCAGUGUGUGACGGUAUCUUACCAGAAAGGAACGGCUAAAUACGUGCCAGCAGCCGCGGUAAUACGUAUGUUCCAAGCGUUAUCCGGAUGUAUUGGGCGUAAAGCGAGCGCAGACGGUUGGUUAAAUCCGAAGCGAAAUCCCACAGCUUAACUGUUGAAGUGCUUUGAAAGCAGGAUGACGUGAGUACAGUAGAGGAGAUUGGAACUCCAUGUGUAUCGGUGAAAUGCGUAGAUAUAUGGAAGAACACCAGAGUCGAAGGCGGCUCUCUGGACUGUAACUGACGUUGAGGCUCGAAAGUGUGGGUAGCGAACAGGAUUAGAUACGCCUGUAGUC
This 465-nucleotide ribosomal RNA is filed under the name uncultured Weissella sp. RNAcentral's name for it is "bacterial SSU rRNA". It matches the Rfam family "Bacterial small subunit ribosomal RNA", at positions 338 to 795 of the family's 1533-position model. Lineage: Bacteria; Bacillati; Bacillota; Bacilli; Lactobacillales; Lactobacillaceae. The record is from RNAcentral.